This 908-nucleotide ribosomal RNA is filed under the name uncultured bacterium. Its description in RNAcentral is "bacterial SSU rRNA". It matches the Rfam family "Bacterial small subunit ribosomal RNA", at positions 597 to 1504 of the family's 1533-position model. The record is from RNAcentral.
AAGCCUUUCGGCUUAACCGGAGAAGUGCAUCGGAAACUGGAUAACUUGAGUGCAGAAGAGGGUAGUGGAACUCCAUGUGUAGCGGUGGAAUGCGUAGAUAUAUGGAAGAACACCAGUGGCGAAGGCGGCUACCUGGUCUGCAACUGACGCUGAGACUCGAAAGCAUGGGUAGCGAACAGGAUUAGAUACCCUGGUAGUCCAUGCCGUAAACGAUGAGUGCUAGGUGUUGGAGGGUUUCCGCCCUUCAGUGCCGGAGCUAACGCAUUAAGCACUCCGCCUGGGGAGUACGACCGCAAGGUUGAAACUCAAAGGAAUUGACGGGGGCCCGCACAAGCGGUGGAGCAUGUGGUUUAAUUCGAAGCUACGCGAAGAACCUUACCAGGUCUUGACAUCUUGCGCCAACCCUAGAGAUAGGGCGUUUCCUUCGGGAACGCAAUGACAGGUGGUGCAUGGUCGUCGUCAGCUCGUGUCGUGAGAUGUUGGGUUAAGUCCCGCAACGAGCGCAACCCUUGUUACUAGUUGCCAGCAUUAAGUUGGGCACUCUAGUGAGACUGCCGGUGACAAACCGGAGGAAGGUGGGGACGACGUCAGAUCAUCAUGCCCCUUAUGACCUGGGCUACACACGUGCUACAAUGGACGGUACAACGAGUCGCGAACUCGCAAGGGCAAGCAAAUCUCUUAAAACCGUUCUCAGUUCGGACCGCAGGCUGCAACUCGCCUGCACGAAGUCGGAAUCGCUAGUAAUCGCGGAUCAGCAUGCCGCGGUGAAUACGUUCCCGGGCCUUGUACACACCGCCCGUCACACCAUGAGAGUUUGUAACACCCAAAGUCGGUGGGGUAACCUUUUAGGAGCCAGCCGCCUAAGGUGGGACAGAUGAUUAGGGUGAAGUCGUAACAAGGUAACCGUA